AUCUACAGCCAUGCCACCCUGAACAAGCCCAAUGUCUGAUCUCGGAAGCUAAGCAAGUUCGGGCCUGGUUAGUACUUGGAUGGGAGACCACCUAGGAAGACCAGGUGUUGUAGGCA
Molecule: ribosomal RNA, 116 nt
Filed under: Pteropus alecto (black flying fox)
Lineage: Eukaryota; Metazoa; Chordata; Mammalia; Chiroptera; Pteropodidae
Source: RNAcentral